UGUGUUUGAUAUGUAGUGUAGAAUAUUUUUUAUUGAUCUCAUAUUUUACUCAGGUUUACCAUUAUCAGCAAUGCACAUUUUAAUUUUGAUUUUUUUUCUCCAUUAUAUAAAAUACAUACAAGACUUUAAUGUCGGCAUAUCUAACAAAUAUUGUUACAGAGUUUUUGAACUAAGUCAGAUGGUUCAAAGUAAAUAGCUUAUUUUUGUCAAAUUACUUAUCUAAACAUUAUCUGUAAAACAUGCGGAGUAACAAUGUCACAAAAAUGUAUAAUUAUGUAAUUGAUUAAUCCGAAGACCUAAGAAAUUUACAUAUGGGUGCUUCAAUGUUUGUAAUUGUUAUUACGGUGUCUUUUUAUCUUUUUACCUGGUGUCAAAAACAAGAUGCGCUCAGGUGUCAACAGAUUUUUCUUUGUCAAGGGAUUAUCUACGUUAACUCAAUUAUUUCUUUAUGGCCAGUGUCCGUCGAUAAGGUCACGUGGGUUAAUUUUUUAAUUACCAAAAUUGUUCCGAACAAAGAAUCUAAUUUUUGAUUGGUCGAAAUAGAUCAGGGAAGCCCAGGUCUCCGAUUGAGAUAGCGUGCCCUACCUCGGGCAUUCUAAUCGGAGACCUGCAUCAAUAAAGUUGUUCAGUUAAUUAAUCAAGGCUUCCCUGUAUCUGAUUUCAGGUAAAUUAUGGUUUACGUUCAUUUUUGUUAAAUUCAUUCAUGCAAAGUUCAAAUAUUUUUCAUUUUCUUUAUUUUAAUGAAAUAUAAAGUAUUUCUUAUUAUUUUUAAUGUUUAAAUGCACUUUUAAGAAAUUUGAGCUUUCAUCAGAGUUAAAGUUUUUAUUUGACUUUGUUUAUUUUCAUUAAGCCAGUUUUGAUAUUUUUCUACUUUUAAAUGUUAAGUUAGUUGAAAAAGGUUUUUGGCUUGAUUAUUCAUUUUGUUGAUUAGUUAAAUUUAUUUUUAACAAGUUUCAUAACUGACACCAGGCGCGUUUUUAUAUUCUCUUUAUAAAACCGGAAAUGGUUAUUCCGUUUUGGUUUUUCAUAUUACUAUUUCUUUAAACACUGCCGCGUGAAACGUCUACAUCAGUCGCUAGUCCCAAACCUUUUGGACCGGAUUUAGUGACUAAGGGUCCUCCACUGCCAAGCGAGUUGCUAUUCCCCGUACUUAUAGUGUCGCAAAGUCAUAACAUCAAUAACAUCUUAAACACGACGCGACAAUACCUU
Long non-coding RNA from Magallana angulata, 1209 nucleotides. RefSeq lists it as uncharacterized. The record is from RefSeq and is a predicted model, not a curated record. NCBI's taxonomy places the organism in Eukaryota, Metazoa, Mollusca, Bivalvia, Ostreida, Ostreidae. The transcript is spliced from 2 exons.